This is a long non-coding RNA of Helicoverpa armigera (cotton bollworm), 534 nucleotides long. RefSeq lists it as uncharacterized. The record is from RefSeq and is a predicted model, not a curated record. The transcript is spliced from 3 exons. Lineage: Eukaryota; Metazoa; Arthropoda; Insecta; Lepidoptera; Noctuidae.
CAUUUGGCCUCGUGGUAACGAAAGUGGAGCUCUGCAAGGGACCAAAACGGAAAGAUUGUAGCAUAUACCGCGUGAAACUUCAUAAUAACGUCACCAUUAACUUUGAUGUCCAGAUCACUGAGAACAUGUCGCCGGUUAAGGGAAAAGUACUGGCGAUAUCCAAAGGCAAGGAAUUUUUGAGGCUACAGAUUAGCAAGCCUUGUGAACAUAUAUUCGUGAAGCCGAUCAUUACAUCUUUGUUCAACAUUACUAAUAACUGCAUUAUUAAGAAGGGCCGCUAUUUAUUUAAAAUUAAUUUUGAAGAGGUUCUACGGGCGUACUACGGUGGCAUGCAUUUUUAUGGCCUAUAUGCAUUCAAGGCACUUUUUUAUGGAGAUAGCUGCAAUUUGUCCUGCAGUGUCAUCGAAGUCAUGAUAUCUGGAAAUAGUAGCAAAUUAAACUGAGUUUUGGUAUUGAUGUAAAUCUUUGUUUUAUUUAAGUAAUAUGGUGUCUAUGUAUCGGCCUGAAAAGAUCUUUUAUUUCGUAAAAACGGGA